GCGGAGGUGAACUGAUCUACUCUGAGCUCCUGCUGCAGUGACAUGAACAAACCCAAAGGGAAGAGACUUGGAAUUCUCCAAAGCAAAGCCUGACCAUUGAACCCAUAAGAAGCUGCUGGUUCCAUCCAUUCAAGGAGGAAGAGUGGGGACACGUGCAAUCAACAAAGAUUCCUCCUUUUUACCAAUGCUUCAUUCUUACAUCUAUUCCAGAAUGCUCCAGGCCAGUGGUUCUCAACCAGGGGCUCCUCGAAGUGUAUGCUGCAACAACUUGGUCACCUUCUAAAUGCCUGAAGUCAUAUUUACUGAGACUCACACUCAUCGACCCAUGUGUAACUUACACCACCAUCCCUUGC
Molecule: long non-coding RNA, 353 nt
Organism: Dermochelys coriacea (leatherback sea turtle)
Lineage: Eukaryota; Metazoa; Chordata; Testudines; Dermochelyidae
Exons: 3
Source: RefSeq, a predicted model, not a curated record